RNAcentral lists this unclassified non-coding RNA (291 nucleotides) under Zea mays. RNAcentral describes it as "misc RNA Zm00001eb232130". Lineage: Eukaryota; Viridiplantae; Streptophyta; Magnoliopsida; Poales; Poaceae. The record is from RNAcentral.
CUGUCAGCGCGCCGCCGCCCCGACGCCCGCACACAAGCGCCGCCGCCCCGACGCCCGCACACCUGCCCCGACGCCCGCACAGCGCGCCGCUGCCGCCGCCCCUCGAGCCGCCCGCGCCCGGCUUUGCCCGCUGCCGCCGCCUUCCGGGUCCCUCCAGGAAACUUGCUAACUCCGGGAAAUGAGGACUCUGAAGAUGCGGUCGCUUCUUUUGUGGACGGUCUUCUAAACAGUGGAGGAGCUAGCGGAUCAAAUCAACCACAUCCAUUUGAUCAACCUCCUCCAUUUGAGUAG